GAUGAACGCUGGCGGCGUGCUUAACACAUGCAAGUCGAGCGAUGAAGUUUCCUUCGGGAAAUGGAUUAGCGGCGGACGGGUGAGUAACACGUGGGUAACCUGCCUCAUAGAGUGGAAUAGCCUUCCGAAAGGAAGAUUAAUACCGCAUAACGUUGAAAGAUGGCAUCAUCAUUUAACCAAAGGAGCAAUCCGCUAUGAGAUGGACCCGCGGCGCAUUAGCUAGUUGGUGAGGUAACGGCUCACCAAGGCGACGAUGCGUAGCCGACCUGGAGAGGGUGAUCGGCCACAUUGGGACUGAGACACGGCCCAG
Molecule: ribosomal RNA, 310 nt
Filed under: uncultured bacterium
Lineage: Bacteria
Description: bacterial SSU rRNA
Rfam family: Bacterial small subunit ribosomal RNA
Source: RNAcentral